AUUUAGGCCAUUGAAUUGGCUUAUUCUUACAUAUCUUAACCAAUGUAUAAAUGAUAGGAAGAUCACCCCUUUGACUCUUUCCAUUGGCUUCAAAAUCAUAUGAAGUAGUCACCUUGAGUUGAACUUUAUACCUACUAAAAAUAUUUCUUGCUUCAAUAGCAUCCAAUUUUUCUUUAUUAGCUCUUAUUAUUCCAAUAAUAUUGUAUCUACUAAAAAUAUCUUAUAGUAUAAAUCUACAUAUUGCUUCUAUGGUCUUGGUUCUUAAAGCUCUUCUUUCAAUAUUAUUUGAUAGCCUUUUUAUUGCCAAAAUCAAGUAUUUUAUAUCUGAAAGCCCAAAUGGAAUAGCUACCAAAUCAAUUAUCUAUUAAAAAUAUAAAGAAGGUAAAUAAGUAGGAUAUAAUCCAUCUCUAUAUUUAACCUUAGACUAUAGUUGUCACUUAGUGCAUAAGCUCAUAAAUCCUUUUAU
This 466-nucleotide long non-coding RNA is filed under the name Physcomitrium patens. RNAcentral describes it as "long non-coding RNA (PPAT_LNC006641)". The record is from RNAcentral. Lineage: Eukaryota; Viridiplantae; Streptophyta; Bryopsida; Funariales; Funariaceae.